This 465-nucleotide ribosomal RNA is filed under the name uncultured Weissella sp. RNAcentral's name for it is "bacterial SSU rRNA". It matches the Rfam family "Bacterial small subunit ribosomal RNA", at positions 338 to 795 of the family's 1533-position model. The record is from RNAcentral. Lineage: Bacteria; Bacillati; Bacillota; Bacilli; Lactobacillales; Lactobacillaceae.
CCUACGGGGGGCAGCAGUAGGGAAUCUUCCACAAUGGACGAAAGUCUGAUGGAGCAACGCCGCGUGUGUGAUGAAGGGUUUCGGCUCGUAAAACACUGUUGUAAGAGGAGAAUGACAUUGAGAGUAACUGUUCAGUGUGUGACGGUAUCUUACCAGAAAGGAACGGCUAAAUACGUGCCAGCAGCCGCGGUAAUACGUAUGUUCCAAGCGUUAUCCGGAUUUAUUGGGCGUAAAGCGAGCGCAGACGGUGAUUUAAUCCCGUAGUGAAAGCCAACAGCUUAACUGUGGAGGUGCGUUGGAAACUGGAUAACUGGAGUGCAGUAGAGGAGAGUGGAACUCCAGGUGUAGCGGUGAAAUGCGUAGAUAUAGGGAAGACCACCAGUGGCGAAGGCGGCUCUCUGGACUGUAACUGACGUUGAGGCUCGAAGGUGUGGGUAGCAAACAGGAUUAGAUACCCCAGUAGUC